AGAAAUCAAGGAAACAAGCUAGGUAAGUUAGAAUUUCUUUAAUUCUCCUUGAUACCUAGCUUACCCAUGCUUUUGUUCUUGAUUUCCAUGGUUGAAUAUUGAGUUAUCAUGAUGAAUUCAAUUCUGAAAAAUGGGUAUGGAAGAGGAAUUGUUGUUGGAAUAAUUUGAUUUUAGACUAUGUUAGUGUUUAGGGAUAGUUAAGCAUGGUUAUGAACAAAAACACAAAAGAAAUAUUCAAUUUCUCUAGGGUUCCUUGUUGGCCGAACCAUGAGGGCUGAAUAUCAAUGGGGGAUUGUUUUUAUUUCAAGGAAAAUGGCUUGGAAAAUGAUGAAUUAAGGUGAAACGGUUAUGUAGAAAAAAUUUCGGUGCUAGUGCACCAAAUGACCGAAUUUUUCUAUAAGGAACUGUGAGGGUUCUAAUGCUGAAUUUGGCUUUAUUUAAAUGGUAUGUGGUAAAUUAAGGUAUUAGAGGAGAAAUGGAUUAAUUUGGAGGUGAUUUGGACACAAUCGCCAAUUAAUCGGGUGAUCGGUCGAAUUUAAUCGAUACCGCGAUUAAGCGGUAAUCGGACGUAUUUUUGCAUUUACAUAUCAAGCAUUAGUAAUUUAAAUUAGUUUAUAUCAAUUUAGGGACAAUAUAGUAAAUUCCUCGACUUUGUUAUUUGACAAGGUAGUGAGACGUCCGAAAAAGGCAAAGGAAUUACGCUUGAGGACUAUUAGUCCGAGUGCACCCGGAAUCCGAAUUUUCGACACCUGUGAGUGAAUUUGCAUUUCAAAAUUUAUUUGGGAAUUCUAAUUAAGUUGAAAUGAAAUGCGUGAAUGAUUAUAUCUAAUUCCCAUUUAAAAAUGAAUCUCGGGAACAAGCCUUUAGUGAAAAUAUUUCUGUGAUGUUAAAUAUGAUUGCGAUGCAUCUGUGUAUAUCUGUAUGAUGCCUACAUGUAUUAUUGAGAAAUUGUGUGAAAUUAAGUGUACUGAAUCUGUGUACCCUUGUAUUAUGCUGAUAUGCAUUAUUAAUAAAUUAUGGUGAAAUUGAUGCAACUGUGCAUGUGUGGAGUGGGAAGUGCAAUGCCAGUUGAAUGACAAAAGGAUGUGAUAAUUACGACCGUGCAUGUGCGGAGUGGGAAGUGCAAUGCUAGUUGAAUGACAAAGGAUGUGAUAAUUACGACCGUGCAUGUGCGAAGUGGGAAGUGCAAUGCCUGUUUAAUGAUAAAGGUUGUGGGGAUGGCGAUACGUAAUGCCCACAAUUUCCUAAAAAUUCAGAGGUGUGCAAAGAGGGAUACUGAGUGAUACCCCUUACUGAGUACUCCGAUAGUUAUUUCUUUGUACCACCAAGAAUAGUGAAGACUUGGCGGUGUAUAUAAUUGCUCAUAUCUUUGUGU
RNAcentral lists this long non-coding RNA (1375 nucleotides) under Theobroma cacao (cacao). RNAcentral describes it as "long non-coding RNA (TCAC_LNC003056)". Lineage: Eukaryota; Viridiplantae; Streptophyta; Magnoliopsida; Malvales; Malvaceae. The record is from RNAcentral.